UAGGGGGAACGUUUUGGUUUUUACAACCCACCGUAUGCGCAUGCGCCUUGACUAUAAAGCUGACGUCAGACGCCGAGAUUGGCACACCGUGGCGAGUUCGGCACGGUGGCGGAGGCGUCACGGCGGGGUCGAAAUUUAAAAUCCCGGGGGCUUGACGGCGAAACUGCCAUUGUCUGCAAACGUUUCUGAAAGUUAAGAGACACCGGCACGAUCACUUCCAAUAACAGGAGCAGCUCGGAGCUCAUUCAGAAAGUUGGAGGAUGCCCAACCCCAUAUGGUGAUGAAGGUUGCAGUCAGUUCAGCAGUUUACUGUGAUCCAAGAAAAGUCCGUGAGGGAAGCCAUGACCCAGGGAAGUUCUCCUGGACUGGAAGAAGAGGAAGACUAGGCUGUACCAAACCCUCCUUGAUGGUGAUGCGCCUGUGCUACGUGAUUGAUGGCUUUAGAUAUCCAACCUUCAGGAAGCUUUGAUUGUGGUGGCCUCACCUAAGCUCACCAAACCCUGCACACUGCCUUAACCUCCUAACCGCCAGCCCCCACAAGUCUGCAAACCUCUCUCCAAAGUGUCAUGCCAACAUUGCACAACUCAGCUGACUAAACACAAACUACGGCCAUUAAUGAAAAUUUUUAACCAGACAAGGUGCAUCUUCUUGGAAACCAAGUCCUGCAAACUUUUGCAUAAACUAUGUACCACCUAACCAGCAACAGAUGCAUCCACCCACAUCCCUCAAAUUGCUUAAUUCUUCACUGCCAGCAGACUCGGCACCCCUCGACGCAACACAAACUGGACACCCACCUGCGGGGAAAAUGCAACCACAACAUAAUGGGGAGGACAUUCUGUAACCAUAUUUCUGAUGAUGAUUCUCCUGAAGUGGGUAUUUGUGUACUAUGACUCCAUUUUAAAUCUGUAUUAGUAUCUGAAGGACAUGUACACUAAUGUGUUGGACAUCAAGUAAAAUCAUUGCUCAUUUCCUAAUUUGUUUGGUAUGUCUUGUUCAUGCUUUUAGUUAUCAUGCUAACAACAAAACACAACACUGGUAUGCUCAGACAGGCUUUGUGAAAUGCACAGUAGUUAAACAAACAUGGACAAUUUGCUGAGUUUCCAGUCUUCAUGAGGAAAUGUUAUUUAGGUGAUUAUCUGCAUCAUUAAUGAUGUCACUUAAUCUGUGAAAUAUUUUUCUCAACAGUU
Lates calcarifer (barramundi perch) is the source of this 1187-nucleotide long non-coding RNA. RefSeq lists it as uncharacterized. The record is from RefSeq and is a predicted model, not a curated record. NCBI's taxonomy places the organism in Eukaryota, Metazoa, Chordata, Actinopteri, Centropomidae. The transcript is spliced from 3 exons.